RNAcentral lists this transfer RNA (48 nucleotides) under Hypochilus thorelli. RNAcentral's name for it is "tRNA-Lys". Lineage: Eukaryota; Metazoa; Arthropoda; Arachnida; Araneae; Hypochilidae. The record is from RNAcentral.
AGUGUGAAAGCCAAUAGGUGUUAGUCUCUUAAAUUAAUAAUGAAGUAG